RNAcentral lists this ribosomal RNA (503 nucleotides) under Pseudomonas oryzihabitans. Its description in RNAcentral is "bacterial SSU rRNA". It matches the Rfam family "Bacterial small subunit ribosomal RNA", at positions 109 to 608 of the family's 1533-position model. The record is from RNAcentral. Lineage: Bacteria; Pseudomonadati; Pseudomonadota; Gammaproteobacteria; Pseudomonadales; Pseudomonadaceae.
AGUAAUGUCUGGGAAACUGCCUGAUGGAGGCCGAUAACUACUGGAAACGGUAGCUAAUACCGCAUAACGUCGCAAGACCAAAGAGGGGGACCUUCGGGCCUCUUGCCAUCAGAUGUGCCCAGAUGGGAUUAGCUAGUAGGUGGGGUAACGGCUCACCUAGGCGACGAUCCCUAGCUGGACUGAGAGGAUGACCUGCCACACUGGAACUGAGACACGGUCCAGACUCCUACGGGAGGCAGCAGUGGGGAAUUUUGCACAAUGGGCGAAAGCCUGAUGCAGCCAUGCCGCGUGUAUGAACAAGGCCUUCGGGUUGUAAAGUACUUUCAGCGGGGAGGAAGGUGUUGUGGUUAAUAACCGGAGCAAUUGACGUUACCCGCAGAAGAAGCACCGGCUAACUCCGUGCCAGCAGCCGCGGUAAUACGGAGGGUGCAAGCGUAAAUCGGAAUUACUCCGCGUAAAGCGCACGCAGGCGGUCUGUCAAGUCGGAUGUGAAAUCCCCGGGC